RNAcentral lists this unclassified non-coding RNA (332 nucleotides) under soil metagenome. RNAcentral's name for it is "partial contains 5.8S ribosomal RNA, internal transcribed spacer 2, and large subunit ribosomal RNA". The stretch from base 3 to 120 matches the Rfam family "5.8S ribosomal RNA", at positions 37 to 154 of the family's 154-position model. The record is from RNAcentral.
GGUGAAGAACGUAGCGAAAUGCGAUAAGUAGUGUGAAUUGCAGAAUUCAGUGAAUCAUCGAAUCUUUGAACGCACAUUGCGCCCUUUGGUAUUCCUUAGGGCAUGCCUGUUCGAGCGUCAUUUAAACCUUCAAGCUAAGCUUGGUGUUGGGUGACUGUCCGCUUCACGGCGGACUCGCCUCAAAAUUAUUGGCGGCCGGUACAUUGGCUUCGAGCGCAGCAGAAACGCGAACUCGGGCCCGUCGUAUUGGCUCCCAGAAGCUAUCUUCACAAUUUUGACCUCGGAUCAGGUAGGGAUACCCGCUGAACUUAAGCAUAUCAAUAAGCGGAGGA